RNAcentral lists this microRNA (22 nucleotides) under Homo sapiens (human). RNAcentral's name for it is "hsa-miR-6818-3p". The record is from miRBase by way of RNAcentral. Lineage: Eukaryota; Metazoa; Chordata; Mammalia; Primates; Hominidae.
UUGUCUCUUGUUCCUCACACAG